RNAcentral lists this ribosomal RNA (552 nucleotides) under Fusarium culmorum. RNAcentral describes it as "eukaryotic LSU rRNA". The stretch from base 192 to 345 matches the Rfam family "5.8S ribosomal RNA". The record is from RNAcentral. Lineage: Eukaryota; Fungi; Ascomycota; Sordariomycetes; Hypocreales; Nectriaceae.
UCGUAACAAGGUCUCCGUUGGUGAACCAGCGGAGGGAUCAUUACCGAGUUUACAACUCCCAAACCCCUGUGAACAUACCUUAUGUUGCCUCGGCGGAUCAGCCCGCGCCCCGUAAAAAGGGACGGCCCGCCGCAGGAACCUUAAACUCUGUUUUUAGUGGAACUUCUGAGUAUAAAAAACAAAUAAAUCAAAACUUUCAACAACGGAUCUCUUGGUUCUGGCAUCGAUGAAGAACGCAGCAAAAUGCGAUAAGUAAUGUGAAUUGCAGAAUUCAGUGAAUCAUCGAAUCUUUGAACGCACAUUGCGCCCGCCAGUAUUCUGGCGGGCAUGCCUGUUCGAGCGUCAUUUCAACCCUCAAGCCCAGCUUGGUGUUGGGAGCUGCAGUCCUGCUGCACUCCCCAAAUACAUUGGCGGUCACGUCGAGCUUCCAUAGCGUAGUAAUUUACAUAUCGUUACUGGUAAUCGUCGCGGCCACGCCGUUAAACCCCAACUUCUGAAUGUUGACCUCGGAUCAGGUAGGAAUACCCGCUGAACUUAAGCAUAUCAAUAAGC